GAAGCGGGAAGAGCUCAAGCUGAGAAUCUUCGGAAUUGUAGUCUAUAGGUGCGAACUCGUGCGGGGCCGGGUAUAAAUCCGUUCCUGGAACUGGGUGCCAGAGAGGGUUAGAGCCCCGUCUUUGACUCGGUCUCCCGCGCGUGGCGAGUUCUCUCCAGAGAGUCGGCUUGCUUGGGAAUGCAGGUCUAAUUGGGUGGUAAACUUCAUCUAAAGCUAAAUAUUGGCGAGAGACCGAUAGCGAACAAGUACUGUGAAGGAAAGAUGGAAAGAACUUUGAAAAGAGAGUGAAAAAGGGCUUGAAGUUGUUAAGGGGAGAAGUGGUUGGAGCAUAUCAUACGCGUGUGGGUCCCAGGGCCGGGACUUGUCCUGGCUUGUACCAUCCGCACGUGUUGGUCAGCAUCGGUUUUUGCUGGGGGAGAAUGCGGGCGUUGUUGAUCCUCUCGGGGAGAUCGGCGCCUGUGAAACCCGGGCGGAGACCGAGGCACCAAGGGCGCGCUUAGCGGCCGGCCUCCUGUGCGCGUAUUCGCUUGUGGUACACCCUCCGGGCGUGUGCUGCUUUCGGGUGCGUGACGCGGGGGAGCGCUGGACCUGCGCCCUGAAGAUGCUGGCACAAAUGGCUUCAACCAGCCCGUCUUGAAACACGGACCAAGGAGUCUAACACAUAUGCGAGUAGUAAGGUGGCAAACCUUGGAUGCGCAAUGAAAGUAACGUGGGUGGGAUCCGCAAGGUGCACCAUCGACCGACCAGGAUCUUCUGUGAAAGGUUUGAGUAAGAGCAUAUUUGUUGGGACCCGAAAGAUGGUGAACUAUGCCUGAAUAGGGUGAAGCCGGAGGAAACUCCGGUGGAGGCUCGUAGCGGUACUGACGUGCAAAUCGUUCGUCAAAUUUGGGUAUAGGGGCGAAAGACUAAUCGAACCAUCUAGUAGCUG
This 928-nucleotide ribosomal RNA is filed under the name Baffinella frigidus. RNAcentral's name for it is "partial large subunit ribosomal RNA". It matches the Rfam family "Eukaryotic large subunit ribosomal RNA", at positions 95 to 953 of the family's 3401-position model. The record is from RNAcentral. Lineage: Eukaryota; Cryptophyceae; Cryptomonadales; Baffinellaceae.